Molecule: non-coding RNA, 147 nt
Filed under: Homo sapiens (human)
Lineage: Eukaryota; Metazoa; Chordata; Mammalia; Primates; Hominidae
Source: Rfam by way of RNAcentral
GCUGGGUGUGGUGGCGCCCACCUGUAAUCCCAGCUACUUAAGAGGCUGAGGCAGGAGAAUUGCUUGAACCCAGGAGGCAGAGGUUGCAGUGAGCCAAGAUUGGCUACUGCACUCCAGCUUGGGCGACAGAGUAAGACUCUGUCUCAA